Pteropus alecto (black flying fox) is the source of this 414-nucleotide long non-coding RNA. RefSeq lists it as uncharacterized. The transcript is spliced from 2 exons. NCBI's taxonomy places the organism in Eukaryota, Metazoa, Chordata, Mammalia, Chiroptera, Pteropodidae. The record is from RefSeq and is a predicted model, not a curated record.
ACUUCCCUGUGAACAAUUUCAAAGAGCGAACGUCUUGAUCAAAAUACUUCAUAAAUCGAAAAGACUCUUAGAAUAUAAUUAGAAUAUAAUCAUUGUGACAAAUGCCACAGGCUGCUGGCUAGAUACUACUGACCCAGUACAGGAAGGAGUGCCACCUAAAUGAGACCUAAGCAUCUCCCCACACGACAGGUCCCUUUCAGAAACUGCCCCGAUGCACAGAUGACAGAGUGGUCAAGACGACCCCUGGAGUAACUGAAUGGAGGGAGCGUACAGAGGGCUGCCCCCAGCAACGACGCUUAAGACGGUGUCGCUGCUCUCCAGUUGCAAAACAAAUCCAUCUUCUACGGCAGGAUUGGAGCAUGUGAGUCUGAAGCCACACUUCAAAUGUCAACACAGAAACCAACUGAGCUCUAA